GACGAACGCUGGCGGCGUGCCUAAUACAUGCAAGUCGAGCGCUUCUUUCCUCCCGAGUGCUUGCACUCAAUUGGAAAGAGGAGUGGCGGACGGGUGAGUAACACGUGGGUAACCUACCCAUCAGAGGGGGAUAACACUUGGAAACAGGUGCUAAUACCGCAUAACAGUUUAUGCCGCAUGGCAUAAGAGUGAAAGGCGCUUUCGGGUGUCGCUGAUGGAUGGACCCGCGGUGCAUUAGCUAGUUGGUGAGGUAACGGCUCACCAAGGCCACGAUGCAUAGCCGACCUGAGAGGGUGAUCGGCCACACUGGGACUGAGACACGGCCCAGACUCCUACGGGAGGCAGCAGUAGGGAAUCUUCGGCAAAGGACGAAAGUCUGACCGAGCAACGCCGCGUGAGUGAAGAAGGUUUUCGGAUCGUAAAACUCUGUUGUUAGAGAAGAACAAGGACGUUAGUAACUGAACGUCCCCUGACGGUAUCUAACCAGAAAGCCACGGCUAACUACGUG
RNAcentral lists this ribosomal RNA (508 nucleotides) under uncultured bacterium. RNAcentral's name for it is "partial 16S ribosomal RNA". It matches the Rfam family "Bacterial small subunit ribosomal RNA", at positions 28 to 507 of the family's 1533-position model. The record is from RNAcentral.